This 936-nucleotide ribosomal RNA is filed under the name Triticum aestivum (bread wheat). RNAcentral's name for it is "partial small subunit ribosomal RNA". The record is from RNAcentral. Lineage: Eukaryota; Viridiplantae; Streptophyta; Magnoliopsida; Poales; Poaceae.
AUGAAACCUGACCCUGCUUUUGCUACUUCACCUAUCUAUGUUACUGAUAAGGAUUAUGAAUUCUCUGUUGAUCCUGAGAUUAUUACUUUAGUUGAAUCUGAUCCUUUUUAUGGCCUUGAAUCUGAAACUGUUGUGGCACAUCGUACCAAGUUGAAUGAUAUAGCUACCCUGUUUACUCAUGAUGAUAAAUCUAGCUAUUAUUAUAUCCUUAAGAUAUUUCCGUUCUCGUUAAAGGGUGAUGCUAAGACUUGGUAUAAUUCUCUUGCUCCUGGUUGUGUGCGUAGUCCCCAGGAUAUGAUUUAUUACUUCUCUGCUAAAUAUUUUCCUGCUCAUAAGAAACAAGCUGCCUUGCAGGAAAUAUAUAAUUUUGUGCAAAUCAAAGAAGAGAGUCUCCCACAAGCUUGGGGGAGGCUUCUCCGAUUACUUAAUGCUUUGCCUGAUCAUCCUCUUAAGAAAAAUGAAAUACUUGAUAUCUUUUAUAAUGGACUAACCGAUGCUUCCAAGGAUUACUUGGAUAGUUGUGCUGGUUGUGUUUUCAGGGAAAGAAUAGUCGACGAAGCUGAAUUACUAUUGAAUAAUAUGUUGACUAAUGAAAAUAAUUGGACUCUCCCUGAGCCAAUUCCUGAGGCAAUUCCUGAACCAAUUGAGCCAACUCCUGAGCCUAUUCCUAAACCCACUCCGAAGAAGAGAGGUGUUUUAUUUUUCAGUCCCGAAGAUAUGCAAGAGGCAAAGAAAUCAAUGAAAGAAAAAGGUAUUAAAGCUGAAGAUGUUAAGAAUUUACCACCUAUUGAAGAAAUACAUGGUCUUAAUAUACUGCCUGUUGAAGAACCACAUUGUCUUGAUAACCCGACACAGGUAGUAAAGAUAAAUCAACUACUAUACCUGGCGCUAUUUGUGAGGAUGUGCCUGUUGUGGUUGCAAAUGUCACUAUCUUAA